This 721-nucleotide long non-coding RNA is filed under the name Danio rerio (zebrafish). RNAcentral's name for it is "lncRNA (ENSDARG00000117468.1)". Lineage: Eukaryota; Metazoa; Chordata; Actinopteri; Cypriniformes; Danionidae. The record is from RNAcentral.
GAUUAUAAGUAAUGCGUAAAUACAUCCACCAGAGGGAGCCAGACCGGUGUAGGCCUUUGUUGAAGAGUUUUACGCUGUUGUAUCCCAAAAAUAAUUGAGGUUAGUCAGAGACGCCUUCAGUCAGAUGAUGACAUAACACCUGAAAUUUCCAGAAAGACAAGGAAAACAUCAGUGUAAUCUCAAGGGAGGAAACGUCACAGUAAUCACAUACAGAUUUAAAAAGGUAUGCAUUCAUGUUUUGUUGGUUUUAAUCCCCACAUUACAUCCUACGUGUGAUUCAUCAGCUGAUCUGUUCUGUAUCUGUGACAGGCACACGUACUCUGGCUGAGGUAAGACAGAAAAGCUAAUGAAGUAAGAGUGCUGCUGAUGCUCAGUCGGAUCUGAUUCACUGAUGCUAAAUGGCUGGUAUUGAUCCAUUACUGGCAGUGAUGAUCACCAAGUGGAUGCAGAUGGUGGAGAGAGCAGCUCUCAGGUCUUUUCUCUAAUGUUCAUCCUGCUGCUUUGGCUGAGGAGGAUUCUAGCAUUGCAUUACUGCCCGAUUCAUGGAGAUGAAAUCUGCUGUUUGUCCUGAGGAAUGGGAUUGUGAACAUGGAUCUGACAUUAACAGAAAAACCUGAUGUGUUUAAAGAGAUGGGAAGGAAUUGGAUGGGCACGUGGCUUCAUUUGCCAUCACAAAUAUUUCAAGACAACCCACAUGACUACAGUAAGAUUCCUGAUGCAG